UAAAAAUAUGGUCAAAGUAAUAAGAGUCUAUGGUGAAGCCUAGGA
This 45-nucleotide ribosomal RNA is filed under the name Borreliella valaisiana. RNAcentral describes it as "partial 23S ribosomal RNA". Lineage: Bacteria; Pseudomonadati; Spirochaetota; Spirochaetia; Spirochaetales; Borreliaceae. The record is from RNAcentral.